RNAcentral lists this ribosomal RNA (253 nucleotides) under uncultured bacterium. RNAcentral describes it as "partial 16S ribosomal RNA". It matches the Rfam family "Bacterial small subunit ribosomal RNA", at positions 524 to 776 of the family's 1533-position model. The record is from RNAcentral.
UACAGAGGUCUCAAGCGUUGUUCGGAUUCAUUGGGCGUAAAGGGUGCGUAGGCGGCGCGGUAAGUCGGGUGUGAAAUCUCGGGACUUAACUCCGAAACUGCAUUCGAUACUGCCGUGCUUGAGGACUGGAGAGGAGACUGGAAUUUACGGUGUAGCGGUGAAAUGCGUAGAUAUCGUAAGGAAGACCAGUGGCGAAGGCGGGUCUCUGGACAGUUCCUGACGCUGAGGCACGAAGGUCAGGGGAGCAAACGGG